This 1382-nucleotide ribosomal RNA is filed under the name uncultured bacterium. RNAcentral's name for it is "bacterial SSU rRNA". It matches the Rfam family "Bacterial small subunit ribosomal RNA". The record is from RNAcentral.
UCCCUUAGAGUUUGAUCCUGGCUCAGGACGCACGCUGGCGUCGUGCUUAACACAUGCAAGUCGAACGGUAAGGCCCCAGCUUGCUGGGGUACACGAGUGGCGAACGGGUGAGUUUCCGUGGGUGACGUGCCCCGCACUUCGGGAUAAGCCUGGGAAACUGGGUCUAAUACCGGAUAGGACCGCACCGUGAGGGUGUGGUGGAAAGUUUUUCGGUGUGGGAUGGGCCCGCGGCCUAUCAGCUUGUUGGUGGGGUAAUGGCCUACCAAGGCGGCGACGGGUAGCCGGCCUGAGAGGGUGGACGGCCACAUUGGGACUGAGACACGGCCCAGACUCCUACGGGAGGCAGCAGUGGGGAAUAUUGCACAAUGGGCGGAAGCCUGAUGCAGCGACGCCGCGUGGGGGAUGACGGCCUUCGGGUUGUAAACUCCUUUCACCAUCGACGAAGGUUUUCUGACGGUAGAUGGAGAAGAAGCACCGGCUAACUACGUGCCAGCAGCCGCGGUAAUACGUAGGGUGCGAGCGUUGUCCGGAAUUACUGGGCGUAAAGAGCUCGUAGGUGGUUUGUCGCGUCGUCUGUGAAAUUCCGGGGCUUAACUCCGGGCGUGCAGGCGAUACGGGCAUAACUUGAGUACUGUAGGGGAGACUGGAAUUCCUGGUGUAGCGGUGAAAUGCGCAGAUAUCAGGAGGAACACCGGUGGCGAAGGCGGGUCUCUGGGCAGUAACUGACGCUGAGGAGCGAAAGCAUGGGUAGCGAACAGGAUUAGAUACCCUGGUAGUCCAUGCCGUAAACGGUGGGCGCUAGGUGUAGGGGUCUUCCACGACUUCUGUGCCGUAGCUAACGCAUUAAGCGCCCCGCCUGGGGAGUACGGCCGCAAGGCUAAAACUCAAAGGAAUUGACGGGGGCCCGCACAAGCGGCGGAGCAUGUGGAUUAAUUCGAUGCAACGCGAAGAACCUUACCUGGGCUUGACAUAUACGGGACCGGGCCAGAGAUGGUCCUUCCCCUGUGGCUCGUAUACAGGUGGUGCAUGGUUGUCGUCAGCUCGUGUCGUGAGAUGUUGGGUUAAGUCCCGCAACGAGCGCAACCCUUGUCUUAUGUUGCCAGCACGUAAUGGUGGGGACUCGUGAGAAACUGCCGGGGUCAACUCGGAGGAAGGUGGGGAUGACGUCAAAUCAUCAUGCCCCUUAUGUCCAGGGCUUCACACAUGCUACAAUGGUCGGUACAGUGGGUUGCGAUGCCGUGAGGUGGAGCUAAUCCCUGAAAGCCGGUCUCAGUUCGGAUCGGGGUCUGCAACUCGACCCCGUGAAGUCGGAGUCGCUAGUAAUCGCAGAUCAGCAACGCUGCGGUGAAUACGUUCNCCGGGCCUUGUACACACCGCCCGUC